GCCUCAGACUGCCCGGAACGGGAGCCCACGCGGGCGGGCGCCUGAAACAAAGGGAAGCGGGCGUCCGGGCGCCGCGGGUGGGCGGUCAGUCGGUCAGCGCAGAGCCAGCCAGCGGGUGCCCGCGCAAGCCCCGAGCGCGGCCGGCCGGCGCGGCCUCAGGGCGGGAAGAUGCCGCGCGUCGUGCCCGACCAGAGAAGCAAGUUCGAGAACGAGGAGUUUUUUAGGAAGCUGAGCCGCGAGUGUGAGAUUAAGUACACGGGCUUCAGGGACCGGCCCCACGAGGAACCCCAGGCGCGCUUCCAGAACGCCUGCCGCGACGGCCGCUCGGAAAUCGCUUUUGUGGCCACAGGAACCAAUCUGUCUCUCCAGUUUUUUCCGGCUAGCUGGCAGGGAGAACAGUGACAAACACCUAGCCGAGAGUAUGUCGACUUAGAAAGAGAAGCAGGCAAGCUGGGCAUAUGAGCCUGAGACAGGUUUGACAAGGCAACUGAAAAGAUAUCCCUAAGAGAAGAGAAAGCAAAGGUAUGAAAGGAACACACAUCCCUGACUGACUAGGAGGAACAGAGCUGCCUGCUGUCUGGAACCGCUUCCUCCCAGACUAAGUGAGGCCCGGAGAGAAGAGAUGACUUGCUUAAGGUCAGAUACUUACUUUCUCUAUCAAUCUUUGUAAAUCUAGGACGAGUUCUCAUCCCACUGUAUCAGGCUGCCUCAACAAACAGGGAAGUACAAAAAUAGCCAAAUCCAGGAAGGAGGGCAGUGGUCUGUGUCUCCUCCAAUAAUUUCAUGGGACAGCCAAGCCUAUUUCCUUGAUUUCCCUUGUGCCCCUCCUGUCGGAUAUCUGCUUUGGGACCCAUCUCUUUUGGGCUUGCAGAGAGAACGGGCUGCACCAGUUCUCUACCCUCCUCAUCACCCAGAUGGUCAAACAUGCAAAGGGAAAGAGCUGGGGCCAGAGCCAAGGCAGGCAAAGAGAAUCCUCGACCCCCUCCAGUCUUUCCACAUUUAUAUUUUUGGAAUUUCAGGCUCCCUCCUCCCCCUGGACCUUUCCUA
This is an RNA transcript of Gorilla gorilla gorilla (western lowland gorilla), 1047 nucleotides long. It is a transcript of the gene named core-binding factor subunit beta-like, with no coding region annotated. The record is from RefSeq and is a predicted model, not a curated record. NCBI's taxonomy places the organism in Eukaryota, Metazoa, Chordata, Mammalia, Primates, Hominidae. The transcript is spliced from 5 exons.